UACGGAGGAUGCGAGCGUUAUCCGGAUUUAUUGGGUUUAAAGGGUGCGUAGGCGGUCCGUUAAGUCAGCGGUAAAAUUGCGGGGCUCAACCCCGUCGAGCCGUUGAAACUGUCAGACUUGAGUUGGCGAGAAGUACGCGGAAUGCGCGGUGUAGCGGUGAAAUGCAUAGAUAUCACGCAGAACUCCGAUUGCGAAGGCAGCGUACCGGCGCCACACUGACGCUGAGGCACGAAAGCGUGGGGAUCGAACAGG
This 252-nucleotide ribosomal RNA is filed under the name uncultured bacterium. RNAcentral's name for it is "partial 16S ribosomal RNA". It matches the Rfam family "Bacterial small subunit ribosomal RNA", at positions 524 to 776 of the family's 1533-position model. The record is from RNAcentral.